AAUAAAGUAUGUAACACCCGUCCCGCCAUAUAGACCAAGACGGCAUGUUUUCAUCUGAUCUUGCCAAAAACGUUUUCUUUGAACUUCACACACGAACAAAAUAUUGCACACAACUCUUCACGCUUACUAACCUGAGGAAAAAGGAAAAAAGGGGGUGAAUAAAGAAUACUCAGUGAGGGGAAUUAACUCUGCCCACUGAAACAUAGACCACUUUGUAAAGCUAUACAACCAUCAUCAUAACAUAUAAACUUAGACACACACAAUCAACCUAACAUGCUUUAACUUCUAAUACCACAUUUAUAAUAAUCAUCUU
Molecule: small RNA, 313 nt
Filed under: Arabidopsis thaliana (thale cress)
Lineage: Eukaryota; Viridiplantae; Streptophyta; Magnoliopsida; Brassicales; Brassicaceae
Description: ATSL162120
Source: RNAcentral